GACUCAUUUACAUGAUAGCUCAUUGCUUUUAUACAGGUUAUUAAGAUAUGAUUGACAAAAAACCCAUAUAUUCACAGUGUACAAAUUUUGAGUUACAUAUGUUAUGAAUAUAUGUAUUCAUAACAAUCAAGCUAACAUAUCUAUGACUUCAGUUAGCUACCACUUACAUGUAAGAGUGGUGAGAACCCAUGAAUCUACUCUCUUACAAAUUUCAAGCAUAUAAUUUCUCCUACUGAGUUGCUUAGAACCUCACUAACUUGCUACAGCUGGCUCUGAAUUCACAUCCUCCUGCCUAGGCAACAUGCUAACCAUUAGGUCUCCAGAGCCUAUUCAUCUUGUAACUAAAAGUUUCUAGCCAUUGACCAAUAGCUCCCAUUUUCCCCAACCCCUAAUAGCCCACUCUUCCACUCCCUGUUACCAUGAGUUCACCUUUCUUAAAUCCACAUAUAAGAGAGAUGAUGCAAUAUCUUUCUGUCUUAAUUUAACUAGCAUAAUGUCCUUCAAGUUCAUCCAUGUUGUGACAAGUAACAGGAUUUCAUUAGAGAAUGAAAACUAGACUGACGUAUAUGUCUCUUUCUUCAUCCCAAUAUAUAUAUAUAUAUAUUUUUUUUUUUCGGGGAUUGAACCCAGGGCACUUAACCACUGAACCAUAUUCCCAUCCCUUUUUUAUGUUUUAUUUAGAGACAGGGUCUUGCUGACUUGCUUAGGACCUUACUAACUUACUACAGCUGGCUCUGAAUUCAUAUCCUCCUGCCUGAGCCUCCAGACCCACUGGGAUUACAGGCAAAUGCCACAGUGCCCAGCUUUUAUCCCAAUUUUUGAUACCUGAAAAAGAUAAUCUCCAGGUUUAGGCUAGUAGAGCAUCACCCCUCACCUGAAGGUAAUAAUACCACAAAUAGGCACAGUGACCAGAGGGGGUCAACUCAUAUCCCAGAAAGAGGUAUGGCUCUGAACUCCUUCUCAGUGAUACAUUCCAAUGACUUAGUGAAUUUACAUAGCAUUUUUUUCACACCUAACUAGCUUCCUAUUGGCACCUCACCAUUCUUAUACUAUUUUUACUGGACAUUCAUUGGUUAAAACUCAGCAAAUGCCAUCAAUUGAUAUUGUUUUGUCAAAGCAUAUUCAAAUCAAUACUAAAAUAUAAAAUAUAAUUAAAUAACACUUGAGCAAGUUCUAGACCACCUGUGACUUGCCUAUGCCAACCCAACCCUCCACCAUCAUAAGAAGCAGAAGUCCAUUAUAAAACAUUCUACUCAAUUCUCUAUAAAAAUAAAACAUAAAAAUAGACCCAGACACUUCCUGAGAGGUUAACAACACAUCUAGCCCAGCAGAGGAAGAGAAGUGGCUGGAGCUCCCUGGGGUAUCUUAACUAAAACCACACAGGAAGUCUCACUGAGCGCUCACUUACUGUAAACCACCACGAGACCAGCAGAG
This 1434-nucleotide long non-coding RNA is filed under the name Marmota monax (woodchuck). The record is from RNAcentral. Lineage: Eukaryota; Metazoa; Chordata; Mammalia; Rodentia; Sciuridae.